Molecule: ribosomal RNA, 432 nt
Filed under: uncultured marine bacterium
Lineage: Bacteria
Description: bacterial SSU rRNA
Rfam family: Bacterial small subunit ribosomal RNA
Source: RNAcentral
AUUGAACGCUGGCGGCAGGCCUAACACAUGCAGAGUCGAGCGCACCUUCGGGUGAGCGGCGGACGGGUUAGUAACGCGUGGGAAUAUGCCCAAAGGUACGGAAUAGCCUCUGGAAACGGAGAGUAAUACCGUAUGUGCCCUUCGGGGGAAAGAUUUAUCGCCUUUGGAUUAGCCCGCGUCUGAUUAGAUAGUUGGUGGGGUAACGGCCUACCAAGUCGACGAUCAGUAGCUGGUUUGAGAGGAUGAUCAGCAACACUGGGACUGAGACACGGCCCAGACUCCUACGGGAGGCAGCAGUGGGGAAUCUUAGACAAUGGGCGCAAGCCUGAUCUAGCCAUGCCGCGUGAGUGACGAAGGUCUUAGGAUCGUAAAGCUCUUUCGCCAGGGAUGAUAAUGACAGUACCUGGUAAAGAAACCCCGGGCUAACUCCGU